Molecule: ribosomal RNA, 2538 nt
Filed under: Vibrio cholerae
Lineage: Bacteria; Pseudomonadati; Pseudomonadota; Gammaproteobacteria; Vibrionales; Vibrionaceae
Description: partial 23S ribosomal RNA
Rfam family: Bacterial large subunit ribosomal RNA
Source: RNAcentral
CGUGAAAUCGAGUAGGGCGGGACACGUGAUAUCCUGUCUGAAUAUGGGGGGACCAUCCUCCAAGGCUAAAUACUCCUGACUGACCGAUAGUGAACCAGUACCGUGAGGGAAAGGCGAAAAGAACCCCUGUGAGGGGAGUGAAAUAGAACCUGAAACCGUGUACGUACAAGCAGUAGGAGCACCUUCGUGGUGUGACUGCGUACCUUUUGUAUAAUGGGUCAGCGACUUAUAUUCAGUGGCAAGGUUAACCGUAUAGGGGAGCCGUAGCGAAAGCGAGUCUUAACUGGGCGCUCAGUCUCUGGAUAUAGACCCGAAACCGGGUGAUCUAGCCAUGGGCAGGUUGAAGGUUGAGUAACAUCAACUGGAGGACCGAACCGACUAAUGUUGAAAAAUUAGCGGAUGACUUGUGGCUAGGGGUGAAAGGCCAAUCAAACUCGGAGAUAGCUGGUUCUCCCCGAAAGCUAUUUAGGUAGCGCCUCGGACGAAUACUACUGGGGGUAGAGCACUGUUAAGGCUAGGGGGUCAUCCCGACUUACCAACCCUUUGCAAACUCCGAAUACCAGUAAGUACUAUCCGGGAGACACACGGCGGGUGCUAACGUCCGUCGUGGAGAGGGAAACAACCCAGACCGCCAGCUAAGGUCCCAAAGUAUUGCUAAGUGGGAAACGAUGUGGGAAGGCUCAGACAGCUAGGAUGUUGGCUUAGAAGCAGCCAUCAUUUAAAGAAAGCGUAAUAGCUCACUAGUCGAGUCGGCCUGCGCGGAAGAUGUAACGGGGCUAAGCAAUACACCGAAGCUGCGGCAAUGUCUUUUAGACAUUGGGUAGGGGAGCGUUCUGUAAGCCGUUGAAGGUGAAUCGUAAGGUUUGCUGGAGGUAUCAGAAGUGCGAAUGCUGACAUGAGUAACGACAAAGGGGGUGAAAAACCUCCUCGCCGGAAGACCAAGGGUUCCUGUCCAACGUUAAUCGGGGCAGGGUGAGUCGACCCCUAAGGUGAGGCCGAAAGGCGUAAUCGAUGGGAAACGGGUUAAUAUUCCCGUACUUCUGACUAUUGCGAUGGGGGGACGGAGAAGGCUAGGUGGGCCAGGCGACGGUUGUCCUGGUUCAAGUGCGUAGGCUUGAGAGUUAGGUAAAUCCGGCUCUCUCUAAGGCUGAGACACGACGUCGAGCUACUACGGUAGUGAAGUCAUUGAUGCCAUGCUUCCAGGAAAAGCCUCUAAGCUUCAGAUAGUCAGGAAUCGUACCCCAAACCGACACAGGUGGUCGGGUAGAGAAUACCAAGGCGCUUGAGAGAACUCGGGUGAAGGAACUAGGCAAAAUGGUACCGUAACUUCGGGAGAAGGUACGCUCUUGAUGGUGAAGUCCCUCGCGGAUGGAGCUGACGAGAGUCGCAGAUACCAGGUGGCUGCAACUGUUUAUUAAAAACACAGCACUGUGCAAAAUCGCAAGAUGACGUAUACGGUGUGACGCCUGCCCGGUGCCGGAAGGUUAAUUGAUGGGGUUAGCGCAAGCGAAGCUCUUGAUCGAAGCCCCGGUAAACGGCGGCCGUAACUAUAACGGUCCUAAGGUAGCGAAAUUCCUUGUCGGGUAAGUUCCGACCUGCACGAAUGGCGUAAUGAUGGCCACGCUGUCUCCACCCGAGACUCAGUGAAAUUGAAAUCGCUGUGAAGAUGCAGUGUACCCGCGGCUAGACGGAAAGACCCCGUGAACCUUUACUACAGCUUGGCACUGAACAUUGAACCUACAUGUGUAGGAUAGGUGGGAGGCUAUGAAGACGUGACGCCAGUUGCGUUGGAGCCGUCCUUGAAAUACCACCCUUGUAUGUUUGAUGUUCUAACUUAGACCCAUUAUCUGGGUUGAGGACAGUGCCUGGUGGGUAGUUUGACUGGGGCGGUCUCCUCCCAAAGAGUAACGGAGGAGCACGAAGGUGGGCUAAUCACGGUUGGACAUCGUGAGGUUAGUGCAAUGGCAUAAGCCCGCUUAACUGCGAGAAUGACGGUUCGAGCAGGUGCGAAAGCAGGUCAUAGUGAUCCGGUGGUUCUGUAUGGAAGGGCCAUCGCUCAACGGAUAAAAGGUACUCCGGGGAUAACAGGCUGAUACCGCCCAAGAGUUCAUAUCGACGGCGGUGUUUGGCACCUCGAUGUCGGCUCAUCACAUCCUGGGGCUGAAGUCGGUCCCAAGGGUAUGGCUGUUCGCCAUUUAAAGUGGUACGCGAGCUGGGUUUAGAACGUCGUGAGACAGUUCGGUCCCUAUCUGCCGUGGGCGUUGGAAGAUUGAAGGGGGCUGCUCCUAGUACGAGAGGACCGGAGUGGACGAACCUCUGGUGUUCGGGUUGUGUCGCCAGACGCAUUGCCCGGUAGCUAAGUUCGGAAUUGAUAAGCGCUGAAAGCAUCUAAGCGCGAAGCGAGCCCUGAGAUGAGUCUUCCCUGACAGUUUAACUGUCCUAAAGGGUUGUUCGAGACUAGAACGUUGAUAGGCAGGGUGUGUAAGCGUUGUGAGGCGUUGAGCUAACCUGUACUAAUUGCCCGUGAGGCUUAACCAU